GCUCGCCCAGCGCAGCCCCCGCGCAGGUGGCGGGUCCCCCGCCCGCCCUCGUCGCCAGCUCCUUCGGGGGCUUCGUCCCCUCUCCCGAAGGCGAAUAGUCGGCCCGGCGAGAGCUUUGGCAGGAGCUGCAGGGCGCUGGGAUGGGAUGGGGGGCCGGGGGGCUGUGUGGGAACGGGGCGAGGCUGCUCGAACCCCGCUGGGUGUCUGCGGGCAGGGCCCGGCUGGGCUUGCAGCCCCUCCGCUGGCAGAUGGUUCAGACGCCGCUUUUAUUUUCUUAAUUCCCGAAAAAAACACCACCCUAUAGUUGAGGCAACUCCUCCCUUCAGUUUUCCGGGAGCGGCUGGGCCGUGGGGAUGUGCGGGGACCCACAGCACUGAUGCGGGGAUGGAGAGCCCGGCUGCCCAGCCCAGCCUGGAGAGCACCGGGCACCGAGGGGAACGCAGGAGAAACCGGCUGAGCACCGGGGGAGUGUGACCAGACCGGCCUGGCUCCGGCACCGUGCUGAAGGGAGAACAGAAAAUGAACUGCAGGAAGAGGGAAAAGCCGGUUGUGUGCUCAGCUGGCUGGAGCAGGGUUCUGUGCGCAGCACGGCCAGGGCAGGCUCCGGGAAGUGCCUGGGAUGGGCUGGACUGAGGAAAACGGAGUGGCAGGGGCUGCCUGCUGGCUGAGCAUCUGUCCUGAAGUGCGAGAUGCUCCUUUCAUCCAGAAGGGGAGAGAAAACCGUCCCCUGGGCUGUGUUGUGGCUGCAGGAACCUGAAGCACGCCUCUCCUCUUGGUCUCCUGAUCUUUGGAAGACGGUUCUUACUCUCCUUUAGAAAUGCAAUUUCAAAAUCGCUCAGUCUUUUGAUAUUUGAAGAGUUUGGGUUUCAGGUUUGGGGAUUUUUGCUCUGCUUUUUGCUCUGGAAUUUUUGCUCUGCUUUUUCUGUAUUACCAAAUUGUAUGUGUUUUCCACAGAAGAUUUACAAGCACAAACUGCUGCUGGUGCUGCUGUGGCCAGCAAGGAUCAGUGGGAGGAAAGGAUGUGCUGUCCACACGGCUUUGGGGCUCACCAGCUGUGCCCCCCUUCUGUGCCCCUUGGGGACAAAACUGAUAAAAUGAUUGCACUUGGAUCCCUUCAGGCUCUAGACCAGGGGUGUCAAGAUGGGAAAUUUUGGGGUGCUGCCUGUACUGAAAGGUUUGGGGGGCAUGGGGCAGGCAGGGGCUCUGCUCAGAGGUGCUGGGUUGGGGUCUGCAGGAUGGGAAGCCACAGAGCUGAUCCUUCUCAGGAAGAGAGAAGGAGCUUUCAGGACAUGAAAUUGGGUGCAAACAGGGGGAAGUGAGUGCCAGCUCACCAGUCAGGUAGUUUAGGGGAGAGCAAAGAGGGGUGUGCUCUGUCUGGGGACACCCUGGUCCUCAGCCCCUCCAUGGCCAGGUGACCUGGCAGCUCCCCCACACAGUCUAAACCUGAUAAGAGGUGACCUGCUGGGACUAACAAUAGGACUCUUCUUCCUUUUUUUAAACUUUCUUUUAAAAAGAUUGCCCAGAUGAAGUUAAACCCCAGAGUUCAGCAAGCCUGAAGGAAUCCCCAGGAGCAAGCCCUGCCCAUGGCUGCCAGCCCAUUGAAGGACACUCACAAACUCUCUUCAAACUCAAAGAGCAGCUUUUGACAAGCAUUCCAUCAAAACCUGGCUGGUGCUUGCUUGGCUCCUAAUCCUCCCUGAGCUGUUUCCCUGUUGCUAAUCUCUCCCAGGAACCAUUAAUAAAUCUUUCCUGGUUUGCAACGCUAAUUCUGGACAAAGGCACCAGGAACCAGCAGUGCCUGGGCCCGUGUCCCUGUUGUUUGCAUGCUCUGCAGGAAGAUUGUUUGGCUUUUAAUGAGGCUAAUUAAAAAGAAACAAAAAAAUAAUAAAUCAGUCCCAUUAAUCUGUAAUAAAUUGAAGUGCUACAAUCCUUCCCAGAGUGGUUGGGACUGCCAGCUCCCAACAGGCUGAGAUGCAAAAUCACUGUUAUUAUUAUUUAGAACAACUCAGUGGUUCUCCAUAAUGCCACAGUGAUGCUUCCCUGCUCAUCCACGGCUUGGAGUUCCUCUGGAGGAGGGGAUCCCACUGAAGCUUCUCCCACACACAUCCCUGGGCAUCUCCUGCUGUUCUGCUUUCUUGGCUCGUGGCUCUUCCUGCCCAGCCGGGGUCCCUGGGCUGCAGGCCACUGACAGCUCCAGCGGAACCAAAUUACCAUUUGGAAUUACCAUGAGAUAAUUGGCCUCAUUUACUAUUUAAAGAUGGGGGAAAAAAAAGCUCCUUCUUCCAGACAACUGCAGUGGAGAAAUGUUCAGGCACAGAUGAUGUCCCAAAACAUAUCAUUAAAGCUUUAAAUAAAUGUAUGAUGA
Molecule: long non-coding RNA, 2365 nt
Organism: Parus major (Great Tit)
Lineage: Eukaryota; Metazoa; Chordata; Aves; Passeriformes; Paridae
Exons: 2
Source: RefSeq, a predicted model, not a curated record